AGCGAACGCUGGCGGCAGGCUUAACACAUGCAAGUCGAACGCCCCGCAAGGGGAGUGGCGGACGGGUGAGUAACACGUGGGAACGUACCCUUUGGUUCGGAAUAACUUGGGGAAACUCAAGCUAAUACCGGAUAAGCCCUUAUGGGGAAAGGUUUACUGCCGAAGGAUCGGCCCGCGUCUGAUUAGCUAGUUGGUGAGGUAAUGGCUCACCAAGGCGACGAUCAGUAGCUGGUCUGAGAGGAUGAUCAGCCACACUGGGACUGAGACACGGCCCAGACUCCUACGGGAGGCAGCAGUGGGGAAUAUUGGACAAUGGGGGCAACCCUGAUCCAGCCAUGCCGCGUGAGUGAUGAAGGCCUUAGGGUUGCAAAGCUCUUUUACCCGGGACGAUAAUGACUGUACCGGGAGAAUAAGCCCCGGCUAACUUCGUGCCAGCAGCCGCGGUAA
This 447-nucleotide ribosomal RNA is filed under the name uncultured bacterium. RNAcentral's name for it is "partial 16S ribosomal RNA". It matches the Rfam family "Bacterial small subunit ribosomal RNA", at positions 29 to 523 of the family's 1533-position model. The record is from RNAcentral.